This 486-nucleotide ribosomal RNA is filed under the name uncultured bacterium. RNAcentral's name for it is "bacterial SSU rRNA". It matches the Rfam family "Bacterial small subunit ribosomal RNA", at positions 30 to 507 of the family's 1533-position model. The record is from RNAcentral.
AUUGAACGCUGGCGGCAUGCUUUACACAUGCAAGUCGAACGGCAGCAUGGGUGCUUGCACCUGAUGGCGAGUGGCGAACGGGUGAGUAAUACAUCGGAACGUACCCGGAAGUGGGGGAUAACGUAGCGAAAGUUACGCUAAUACCGCAUAUUCUGUGAGCAGGAAAGCAGGGGAUCGCAAGACCUUGCGCUUUCGGAGCGGCCGAUAUCAGAUUAGCUAGUUGGUGAGGUAAAGGCUCACCAAGGCGACGAUCUGUAGCGGGUCUGAGAGGAUGAUCCGCCACACUGGAACUGAGACACGGUCCAGACUCCUACGGGAGGCAGCAGUGGGGAAUUUUGGACAAUGGGCGCAAGCCUGAUCCAGCCAUGCCGCGUGAGUGAAGAAGGCCUUCGGGUUGUAAAGCUCUUUCGGCCGGGAAGAAAUCGCACGGGUUAAUACCCUGUGUGGAUGACGGUACCGGAAUAAGAAGCACCGGCUAACUACGUG